UCCCCGUUACCGGGGCAGUCUGGCCAGAGAAAUACAACUGACUAAAAGGGUUGCGCUCGUUGAAGGACUUAACCUAACGUCUCACGACACGAGCUGACGACGGCCAUGCAACACCUGUCACUUGGCUCAAUAAAGCACUCUCUGCUUUCGCAGAAAUUCCAAGGAUGUCAAACCUGGGUAAGGUUCUUCGUUUACCAUCGAAUUAAACAACACGCUCCACCGCUUGUGCGGGUCCCCGUCAAUUCCUUUAUGUUUUAAGCUUGCGCUCGUACUCCACAGGCGGGAUGCUUAACGCGUUAGCUUCGCAACUUCGAGGGUCGAUACUCGAAACUGCUAGCAUCCAUCGUUUACAGCGUGGACUAC
RNAcentral lists this unclassified non-coding RNA (363 nucleotides) under uncultured bacterium. RNAcentral describes it as "contains 16S-23S intergenic spacer region". The record is from RNAcentral.